CUACGGGAUGCUCCAGUGGGGAAUAUUGGACAAUGGGCGCAAGCCUGAUGCAGCCAUGCCGCGUGUAUGAAGAAGGCCUUCGGGUUGUAAAGUACUUUCAGCGGGGAGGAAGGGAGUAAAGUUAAUACCUUUGCUCAUUGACGUUACCCGCAGAAGAAGCACCGGCUAACUCCGUGCCAGCAGCCGCGGUAAUACGGAGGGUGCAAGCGUUAAUCGGAAUUACUGGGCGUAAAGCGCACGCAGGCGGGUUGUUAAGUCAGAUGUGAAAUCCCCGGGCUCAACCUGGGAACUGCAUCUGAUACUGGCAAGCUUGAGUCUCGUAGAGGGGGGUAGAAUUCCAGGUGUAGCGGUGAAAUGCGUAGAGAUCUGGAGGAAUACCGGUGGCGAAGGCGGCCCCCUGGACGAAGACUGACGCUCAGGUGCGAAAGCGUGGGGAGCAAACAGGAUUAGAUACCCGCGUAGUC
RNAcentral lists this ribosomal RNA (464 nucleotides) under uncultured bacterium. RNAcentral describes it as "partial 16S ribosomal RNA". It matches the Rfam family "Bacterial small subunit ribosomal RNA", at positions 339 to 795 of the family's 1533-position model. The record is from RNAcentral.